Long non-coding RNA from Aethalodelphis obliquidens (Pacific white-sided dolphin), 3071 nucleotides. RefSeq lists it as uncharacterized. The record is from RefSeq and is a predicted model, not a curated record. The transcript has 3 exons. NCBI's taxonomy places the organism in Eukaryota, Metazoa, Chordata, Mammalia, Artiodactyla, Delphinidae.
GUCCGUGUUGACUGCCAGGAGGUCGGCACCACUGCGGGAAGGGUGGAUGGGGCGCUGGUCACAGGGCCCUUCUCCGCCAGCGUAGGCCCCCAGGACCCUCUCAGAGGCCUUCCACCUAGGGCUGCCUCAGAGGGGCCCAGACCUCACCUGCCGCAGUGAGAGGCGGCCCCUUGGCCCUGGGUGCUGUCCUGGGGCCAGGUGGGCUGUCCUGCAGUCUCCACCAAGUCUGAUUUUUCAGGUUCCUGGCACCCCUCUGCCCCCAUGAACAUGUACAGUGGGCCCACUUGCCACGAGGGGGUGCCAAGACUCUGGGGGCCCCAGGCAGCAGAAGGUGGUGGGGAGAGAGCCUGGGUGUCAGGAGAGCACUGUGGGGAGCUGAAGGAGGGCCCGAAACACAAGGCUGGAUACCCACUGUGGAGGGGCAUGGAGUGGGGCUAGGGGCCGCCUGUGCGCACCCCCUUGCUGCCCCGUGACGCUGCACACCCAGCCCGUCCCACUCCAAGGCAUCUGUGUGCAAACGGGAGCCACUGCCAUCCACCCCCACACCCACCAGUGUUGCCCAGACUGCUCCACGGCCAGCCAGCGGGGGACUCCUGGGUCCUGGCGAAGCUGACCACCCUCUCCAUUCACCAAGGCGGCUGUUCAGGAGCACAGCCCUGCUCUGCCCUCCUUGUUAACGGCCCCACCUGUGUCCAGGUACCCCCUUGUCAAUUUCUCCCUCGUGGCUCUGACCAGAACGGCAUUUCUCUAUGCAGACCCUGGGAAGGCCAGGAGACCAGAGCAGGUCAAGGCCUGUCCUAAAGGAGUUCCACGCUCUUCGUGGUGUGAGCAGCCUGGCAGGCGGAGGACCACACUGCCCUGCAUACGUGCUAGUUCCCUUGGGGUGGCAGCAUCCGUGGUCUCGGCCCAGGUCCCGCUCUGCACGCCAGGGUGCGGCAGGGUAAGCAAAGGUCAUUCCGGGCAGCCGCCUCCAGAAGGGCAACGCUGGGGGGGAAGAGGACCCGCUUCUGUGGCCGGCCGUCGGCCACCUCCUUCUGUGACUGCGUCCGCAGGCCUCUCCUGCCAUGGGCCUCCUUCUCGGCCUGGGCCCACAUCUUCACCUGCUGGGCACGUCGCUUCUGGGCGUGCUUCAGCCGCUCCUGUGUGCUCAUCCUGCCCACCGUGGGCAUCUCUGCCAGCAGCUCCAGGAGCCGGCGGCCCAGCUGUGCACGGCAGGCGCUCCCGCUGGCCUGAGAGGAGGAAGCAGGAAGCGCGUCAAGGCCAGACGGCGGCGACGGCUCCACCCGGAGCCCCGCCCUGUGUGAGGGCGAGCCCUGCCCGGGAGAUCCUGGCGGAGGGGAGGGGGCUGGCAGUGCCCGCAGUCUGGCCCACACGCUCGCCGUUUCCAGCAAGGGCCUGCAGGCUGUGCGGCUGAGAGAGGGGCGCAGGGCCGGCACUGCCAGCUCGCUGCGGCCUUCCUAAGAGGCGGCCCCUCGAGGCCUCCGGCUCAGCCCUUGCCCCGCAGCGCCCCUGACCUGUGCGCCCUGGGCCGGGCCGGCUGGCCAAGGUCACCUUCUCCUUGGGCUCUCCCGGACUCCCCGAGCGCUGUGCGGCCUAGGCCUUCCCGAGAGCAGGCCCUGCCGCCUGGACACCGGGCCGCCCUGCUGCUCGGCCACAGCUGCGGAGGGCGGAGGGCCUGGCCUGGCCUGCCCCGCACCCCAGCUCCUCAACACCCGAGUCUGGGCCUCUUCCUCGCCGGGCUUUCUGUUUCUAGCUCAGGCCACUCGGUGCUUCGCUUCCCUCUGCCAUCCUGGGCGGCGGUCCAAGCCCUGGUUGUGUGAAUGCAGGCGCAGGUGGCCUGCCUGACAGACAGGUGGGCCGGCAGCUGGGCUGGGGCACAGCCCCACAGUCCCCACCAUGGCCCGUCCUGCGCAGCACGCCCGGUGUGCUCACUAGGCAUGAUCCCAGGACACUCCUCGGGAGGCCAUGGCCAUGCUCCACCUAGAAGGUACCCACCGGCAGCUCAGCCUGCCCACCGGGAGUCCCCGUUCCCACUCGGCCAGACCUUGUGGCCAUCUAGAGACUGACCCAGGCUUCUUCUGGCCAGACUUGUACUCAGGGGUCUCAGUGAGUGCCCCCUUCUUUCUGGAGGGGGACUGUCCUGGGCCAGAUCAAGUGAGGUCAGGUCCCUCCUGCCCCGGGACCCCCAGUGUGUUGGGAGCCUCGCAUUACAGCUCUGCCUCGCCCUGGACUUUGCUGGUACUCCAGCUAUCCGCUCUGCGAGCCAGGCCUCAGAGGCUACCAGGGGACAGGAAAGAGCCCUCCAGGCAGACAGCCCCCAGCUGGCCACCUCUGCAGAUGAGCUGCCUAGCCCCCCUGCCUGGAUCCCCCAAGUCCCACCUCUGCCCUGACCGAGACAGGCAGGAGGCCUGCAGGCACCGUGGCAACUCCCCACCCAUUAGGCUGGGGGUGGAUCCCAGACCAAACCCAAGGCGUGGCAGGGCUUUCACUGGCUCUGUAAGACUCUCCCUCCCUGCUGGCCACUCACAGGCAGCCUCAGGUUCCCCUGGAGGGAGCUGGGACCCCCUGCAGCCCACACAUGGGAUCUUCACCUGUCUGGGGUAGGUCUCUGAAGAGCCUGCCCCAAGAGACGCGGGAAGGAGGAGCAACGCACUCUGCCCAGGGCCACCCCCGACCCCGUCACAGAGGAUGCUGCCCCCACCUGUCCACGAGGGAGGAGGUCCCCUGCAGGCCAAGGCUCCACGGCAGAGCGGGCUCACAGGGCCUCAGCGACCAUCUUCUCCAAGUGGGCGCCAACAUCAGAGCCACAGCCCGAUUUUGUUAAGUUUGACAAGAUUUAGGAGAUGUCAUCUACCCCAUCAUUUUAUGGAAGAAAAGAGAUUCUGACGCCCACGUCCUACAGAAAUUCCCCUAGAGGGGACUUCCCUGAUGGCCCAGUGGUUAGGACUGCAUGGUUCCACUGCACGGGUUCGAUUCCCUCAUCGGGGAGCUAAGACCCCUGCAUGCGGGGGAGCAGGGUAGGGGACAGAAAACAACCUAAAAUAGAGUAACCACCAGCUUUUCAAAUUGAA